GAUGAAGAACGUAGCGAAAUGCGAUAAGUAAUGCGAAUUGCAGAAUUUCCGUGAGUCAUCUAAUCUUUGAACGCACAUUGCGCCCACUGGUAUUCCGGUGGGCAUGCCUGUUCGAGCGUCAUUAUCCUCCCUCAAACCCCGGGUUUGGUGUUGGACCCAAGUUGUGUGAACAACUGGUCUUAAAGACAAUGACGGCGUCCGUGGGACCCUCGGUGCAACGAGCUUUUAGGAGCACGCAUCGAGUUGCAAGGACCUUCCGGGCCGGUCUCCUUUACUAUUUUACAAGGUUGACCUCGGAUCAGGUAGGAAUACCCGCUGAACUUAAGCAUAUCAAUAAGCGGAGGA
Molecule: unclassified non-coding RNA, 345 nt
Filed under: soil metagenome
Description: partial contains 5.8S ribosomal RNA, internal transcribed spacer 2, and large subunit ribosomal RNA
Rfam family: 5.8S ribosomal RNA (bases 1-121)
Source: RNAcentral